GACGAACGCUGGCGGCGUGCUUAACACAUGCAAGUCGAGCGGUAAGGCCCUUUCGGGGGUACACGAGCGGCGAACGGGUGAGUAACACGUGGGUGACCUGCCCUCAGCUCUGGGAUAAGCCUGGGAAACCGGGUCUAAUACUGGAUAUGACUCCAUGACGCAUGCUGUGGGGUGGAAAGCCUUGUGCGGCUGAGGAUGGGCCCGCGGCCUAUCAGCUUGUUGGUGGGGUGAUGGCCUACCAAGGCGACGACGGGUAGCCGGCCUGAGAGGGCGACCGGCCACACUGGAACUGAGACACGGCCCAGACUCCUACGGGAGGCAGCAGUGGGGAAUCUUGCGCAAUGGGGCGAAAGCCUGACGCAGCGACGCCGCGUGAGGGAUGACGGCCU
Molecule: ribosomal RNA, 389 nt
Filed under: uncultured bacterium
Lineage: Bacteria
Description: bacterial SSU rRNA
Rfam family: Bacterial small subunit ribosomal RNA
Source: RNAcentral